This 370-nucleotide unclassified non-coding RNA is filed under the name Hevea brasiliensis (rubber tree). The record is from RNAcentral. Lineage: Eukaryota; Viridiplantae; Streptophyta; Magnoliopsida; Malpighiales; Euphorbiaceae.
AAGUAUGCUUCCGGUGAAUUCUCCAUGGCUGUUGUUCAAGCCAACCAAGUUCUUGAGGACCAGAGCCAAAUUGAAUCUGGCCCUUUUGGUACUUUCGUCGGAAUCUACGAUGGUCAUGGUGGUCCUGACGCUGCUCGUUACGUCUGUGAUAACUUGUUUAGACGUUUCCAAGAUGAGCAACGAGGAGUUGUGACUCGUGAAACCAUUCUGAAUGCUUUUCGUCGAACGGAGGAAGGGUUCACGGCUGUUGUGUCAGAGUUGUGGAAUACUCGACCCCAGAUAGCAACAGUUGGGACAUGCUGUCUAGUAGGGGUGAUACACGAGCAGACACUCUACAUUGCGAGUCUAGGAGAUUCUCGUGCUGUGUUAG